UGGUGGCUAGUAUAAUUAAAACAUUUGAUUUCGGCUCAAAAGAAUGUGGUUAAACCCCACAGCCGCCCU
Molecule: transfer RNA, 69 nt
Filed under: Dunckerocampus dactyliophorus (ringed pipefish)
Lineage: Eukaryota; Metazoa; Chordata; Actinopteri; Syngnathiformes; Syngnathidae
Description: tRNA-Arg
Rfam family: tRNA
About the family: Transfer RNA (tRNA) molecules are approximately 80 nucleotides in length. Their secondary structure includes four short double-helical elements and three loops (D, anti-codon, and T loops).
Source: RNAcentral